GACGAAGGAUGCAAGCGUUAUCCGGAUUCAUUGGGUUUAAAGGGUGCGUAGGCGGCCUUGUAAGUCAGUGGUGAAAUCUUCUCGCUUAACGAGAAAACUGCCAUUGAUACUGCUAGGCUUGAGUACAGAUGCUGUGGGCGGAAUAUGACAUGUAGUGGUGAAAUACAUAGAGAUGUCAUAGAACACCGAUUGCGAAGGCAGCUCACAAAACUGUAACUGACGCUGAGGCACGAAAGUGCGGGGAUCAAACAGG
RNAcentral lists this ribosomal RNA (253 nucleotides) under uncultured bacterium. RNAcentral's name for it is "partial 16S ribosomal RNA". It matches the Rfam family "Bacterial small subunit ribosomal RNA", at positions 524 to 776 of the family's 1533-position model. The record is from RNAcentral.